Oryctolagus cuniculus (rabbit) is the source of this 2979-nucleotide non-coding RNA. Lineage: Eukaryota; Metazoa; Chordata; Mammalia; Lagomorpha; Leporidae. The record is from RefSeq and is a predicted model, not a curated record.
CCUGACACCAGUUGACGAAGCACCUACCGUGGCCAAAGCACGGGGGCCGCGUCCUGGAGCUGGUCGGGGUGGGACAUGGAUGCACGAGGCGGGUGCGCCUGAGCCGCGUCUGCGCAGGGCAGCCUGCGGCGCCGCCCCCAGGAGCCCCGCGCCGCUCCCCACCGUGCAGCUGUCAGGAGGCUGGGGUCACAGAGGAGCCAGCUUACAAAAGCACAGCUGGGCUCCUGGGAGUCCCCUCUGCCCUGGCAUCUGCCAGCCUCCCUUUCUGCUCCAUCUCCCUUCUCAUCUCAGAGUGGGUGUCUCUGCUGUGCAGGUGGCACGGCAGGAAACCAGAUUGUCCCACAGAUCUUGAGUUCGCUGGUCCCUGACUCUUGGCUCUCUUCCUCCCCCUGUUCCAAAUUCCUCAGGAAGAGAUGUUCACUGGCAUGGGUGGGCAAGAGGCUUACUCGGGGUACCAUCAGCCGUGGCCAGGGGCUCAGAGUCACAUGGGUGCAUGGGGCUAAGGGGAGCCCCCCGCGGGGUCCCAGGCCGGACAGUUCGUUCUAGUGGAAAGUGCUCAACAAUAAGGCACAAGUCACAGGCAGCUUCUCCUUUGACAGCCUCUACCUUGGUCAGGAGAUGGAGCUGGGGAGGAGAGCAGCUGGGGAGUAUCUGAGGGCUGCACCCCGGGGCUCCUGACUCCCAGCCCCGUGCUCUUUCCACUCCACCCCAUGCCUUUGCCAGUCGUUGUGAAAUAGACGAUGGCUGUGCAGCUUCCCCUGGGAGCCAGAGUUGUGUUGAUUAAAGAGUUCUGCUGGCGGCCUCGGAGGGAGCCAGGAGCCAAAACCAGUGGUGCAGCUGUGGGUGUUUGCUGAACUCACUGCUGUGCCUACCUCCAAGGCAGGGCCAAUUCUGCUGCCCACAAGAGACAAUAAGCAACUGACCACCUCCACAAAACCAAGAACCAUAUUCUGCUCGCCUUUGCUUCUUCAGCAGCUGGUGCCUAACGUGGGCUAGAAGCUCACUAGAUCCUUCAUGGAUGACCGCCUCGAUGACUUUUAAAGCAGGUCAAGUUGAGACCAGCUUCCCAACAAGAGAAGGUAAAGUGUAUUAUAUAAUCCUGAUGACCUCAGACCCGUGCUGCCUGCAUUCCCCUGUGUAAAGGCCUUUUUCUGACACCAGAGCGGCAGGAGGGAGUGUGUGAUCCCAGCGCGGUACCUGCUGACAUGAGGAUUUCAUGAGGAAGGGUAGUGAAGGCUUGAAUCAGAGCAAAUCCUGCCCUCACACACCGCGCCUUUCUUUCCCCUGAAUCCGUGUGCAGGUCUUCACUGAUCUCAGGAGUCUUGGAUCUUGCAGUGGCUGCUACAACGACACAAAUAUCAUGGUGCGCUGAGGCCAUGAGGAGUUCUGAGCUGGUGAGGAUCCCAAGUGCACUGUGUGGAUAUUUUUCUCUGCUUUCUUGGAUGCAAGAUUCUAGGCCUGGUGGAUCAUCAAGUUAACCACAAAGAUCAACAGCAGCUGUCUUUGGAGUUGUCUUUGGCUAUGCCUUGGUGGGGUUCUGUGUGAGAGAACACCAACGACACUGGCCAGGGAUGCUGCCGAGCUGCUCCGUGUGGCCAAUGGGAAGUGGGAUGUGGGGGCCUCACUAAAAGAUGGUUGGCAGGAGCCCUCUGCCUUUCACUCUCCGACCCUGCCUCUUUCUUGCUCCAGCUGUCAGCCCUUCCUUAGCAAAGGAGAAGGAAGGCUGGGGGCUGCACCCGGGGGAUGGAAGCUUGGUGGCUGUGAGGAUCUGGGUGUUUCAGGAAGCAGCCCUUGGGUUCCAACUCCAGAAUACUUGGGUGGAAGAACCUUCCCUUUUGUCUAGGCCAUUGUUAUUUUAGGUCUCUGAUACUCUCUGCUGAACUUAAUUCCAAUGAAUGCCCUUGGGAAUACUGAAUUAUUGGCAUAUCACAAGCUUUCACCAAGUUUAUUUGGAAAGGUGCUGACCUUUGCCAUAAGCGACUGGGAAUUAUCUGGAAUGUGAUACAGACAUGAAAUCGGCAGAUGGGGCAGUGACUAGGACCUAUCUUUGGGGAGCACUUGACAGCUGAUGGAUCCCAGUGACUUAAUGGAUUUAUUUUUCUUUCUGAAGACUCAGGCAUUGGAUAAUUUAUGGCCUAUGGGGACUGUUGUCCACGCAGAACUGUUUGGGACGCCUCCAGUGCUCUUCUCGGGAUUUCUGAGGCCGAGUAGAGCCUCUGUGUCAGGGUGACCUUCAAGGCCUCUGCCUUACGCGCUUCCUGUGGCCACAGCUCUCCUCUCUCCUUCCUCCCUUCUAGCGAGGACCCUGGCUCUUCUUUGCCUGAGAGUUUGGGGGUAGCUGGGUAGUUGCCAAAGAGCCAUCUGUCCUGCCCGGGUCAUGCUUAAUGAUGCAGAGAAACAGUGAUGUCAUGAAGUGACAAUUUAAAGAAAAUUUGAUUUUCAAUUUCUUGGCUUUCUUUCUUUCUUUCUUUUUAACAAUUUUUAAGUUUUUGUCAACAUAUAUAACACAAAAUUUGCCAUUUUAACAUGUACAGUUUGGCGGCAUUAAAUGCACUUGCAACAUUGUACAACCAUUCCAAUGUUUUGAUAUUUGAUUUCCUGGGUCAAAUUCUUAAGCACAGUCCUCUUGCCUCACCGGAAGCUAUUUUAUCCUCAGUGGGAUCAUAAUUAAGUUCAUUCUUAAAUAACAGGAAUUCAGGAACUUGAGCUCCCUUCUUCUCCCUGCUUCCAAAAAUUCUUCUAAUUUUUUAGAAGGCCAAGCUAGCAUUUGAAACUGGAUUUCCUAUUAUAAGGCAAGAGAUGGAGGGGGUUGGGGGCGGAGGGCCUGAGGGGCUCAGAUGGGCUAGGUGUGCGAGGCUGUUUGAGGCUGCGAUUCCUAUCUGUACAAGUUCAACCACAGAGGCUUCCAAAAGUGGUGUCAUGAUCAGGCCGAGACCGGUGUUUGGAGAGGAGCAAAGACACACAGCAGGGAGCCGCUAG